AGAGUUUGAUCCUGGCUCAGGAUAAACGCUGGCGGCGCGCAUAACACAUGCAAGUCGAGCGAGAGGAGUAGCUUCGGUUACGAAUCUAGCGGCGGACGGGUGAGUAACACGUAGACAACCUGCCUUGUAGAGGGGGAUAGCCGGAAGAAGUUCCGGGUAAUACCGCAUAAUACAUAUUAAUUGCAUGAUUGAUAUGGGAAAGGUGAAUAACCGCUAUAAGAGGGGUCUGCGACUGAUUAGCUAGUUGGAGUGGUAACGGCACACCAAGGCCACGAUCAGUAGCCGGUUUGAGAGAAUGAACGGCCACAUUGGGACUGAGAUACGGCCCAGACUCCUACGGGAGGCAGCAGUGGGGAAUAUUGCGCAAUGGGGGAAACCCUGACGCAGCGACGCCGUGUAAAGGAUGAAGGUCUUCGGAUCGUAAACUUAUAUCGAUUGUGAAAAGUAAGGAUGGUAGCAAAGUAAGAAGCCCCGGCUAACUACGUGCCAGCAGCCGCGGUAAGACGUAGGGGGCAAGCGUUAUCCGGAAUGAUUGGGUGUAAAGGGUGAGUAGGCGGUUAAUUCAAGUCAUAUGUUAAAAGCUGCGGCUUAACUGCAGUACGGCAUAAGAAACUGAAUAACUAGAGUGCAGGAGAGGUAAGCGGAAUUCCUAGUGUAGCGGUGAAAUGCGUAGAUAUUAGGAAGAACACCAGUGGCGAAGGCGGCUUACUGGACUGCAACAGACGCUGAGGCACGAAAGCGUGGGGAGCAAACAGGAUUAGAUACCCUGGUAGUCCACGCUGUAAACGAUGAGUGCUAGGUGUUGGUGCGCGAGCAUCGGUGCCGGAGUAAACACAAUAAGCACUCCACCUGGGGAGUACGGUUGCAAGGCUGAAACUCAAAGGAAUUGACGGGGGCCCGCACAAGCGGUGGAGCAUGUGGUUUAAUUCGAAGCAACGCGAAGAACCUUACCAAAGCUUGACAUUAUACUGAGCCUAUAGAGAUAUAGGGGCUCUUCGGAGAGGUAUAACAGGUGGUGCAUGGUUGUCGUCAGCUCGUGUCGUGAGAUGUUGGGUUAAGUCCCGCAACGAGCGCAACCCUUACUGCCAGUAACUAACUAGCAAUAGAGCACACUGGCGGAACAGCCCUGGACAACAGGGAGGAAGGAAGGGAUGACGUCAAAUCAUCAUGCCCUAUAUGUUUUGGGCGACACACGUGCUACAAUGUAUGCAACAAAGUGAAGCAAUCAAGUAAUUGUGAGCAAAACACAAAAAAGCGUACUCAGUUCGGAUUGUAGUCUGCAACUCGACUACAUGAAGCUGGAAUCGCUAGUAAUCGCGAAUCAGAAUGUCGCGGUGAAUACGUACCCGGGCCUUGUACACACCGCCCGUCACACCAUGGGAGUUGGAAGUUCCCGAAGUUCAUGACCCAACCGUAAGGAGGGAGUGACCGAAGGAAAAGUCAAUGACUGGGGUGAAGUCGUAACAAGGUAGCC
RNAcentral lists this ribosomal RNA (1474 nucleotides) under uncultured rumen bacterium. Its description in RNAcentral is "bacterial SSU rRNA". It matches the Rfam family "Bacterial small subunit ribosomal RNA". The record is from RNAcentral.